This 326-nucleotide ribosomal RNA is filed under the name uncultured bacterium. RNAcentral describes it as "bacterial SSU rRNA". It matches the Rfam family "Bacterial small subunit ribosomal RNA", at positions 28 to 334 of the family's 1533-position model. The record is from RNAcentral.
GAUGAACGCUGGCGGCGUGUUUAACACAUGCAAGUCGAGCGAGAUGUUUCUCAGUAGAUUCUUCGGAUGAUACAGAGUUACGGAAGGCGGCGAACGGGUGAGUAACGCGUGAGGAACCUGCCUCUCAGUGGGGGACAACAGUUGGAAACGACUGCUAAUACCGCAUAAUGUAGCGAGACCGCAUGAUCUUGCUACCAAAGCUUUAUGUGCUGAGAGAUGGCCUCGCGUCUGAUUAGCUAGUUGGUGAGGUAACGGCCCACCAAGGCGACGAUCAGUAGCCGGUCUGAGAGGAUGAACGGCCACAUUGGGACUGAGAUACGGCCCAG